UCUCUCUCUCUCUCUCUCUCUCUCUCUCUCUCUGUAUCUCUCUCUUUCAUGUCAUCCCUGGAGUGCACACCUUAUCUUCGGAAUGAAAAAGAAGACACUGCAGGGAGUCUUCUGAAACAUCCUGAUUGUGUGCCGUCACACAGAGAACCCUGAGAGCUCAUAGAAACCUUCCUGAAGAGAAGGCGAAUCCUGCGCUCGAGCGAUCCGGGGAAGAUGAGCAGGAUGACGCCUCGGUUACCAUAGCGACGGGGAAUGGAAAUGAACGCAAUUAAAGAUUAAUUAGUUAAUUAGCAUACAGGAGUUUUAUGGGAAAGUGAGUGUGUACAGUUCAAACUUAAAAUAGAGAAGAACAGGAAGGAGACUCUGAGUUGAGAUCUUUAUCCUCCAUGAACUCAUUCCUGAACUCGAUAAUUAACCCUGACAUCACUGACUCCUGGAAUUCAUUAUCUGUUUGGUUUAUUUUAUUAGGUUUUAUUAUUAUUUGUGAUUCUUUGUUCACAUGUAGGACAUGUAGAUCAUGUAGUAUUUAACACCUCUGUGCAGUUAUGGAAGCUUCUUCAAAGGUUGUUCAUCAGUUAAAAGGUAACGAAAAGUUCUUAACUCCCUGAAAAGGUUAGUUGUGGACCACUUUAGAAACCUGCCAAUGAUGUAGCAUUUGUUUUAACUAUUAAUUGGUGUCCUUAAUUAAGGCUUCGUUAUCUUCCUGAAAAGAUUCUACUGGGGUUUUA
Long non-coding RNA from Silurus meridionalis, 728 nucleotides. RefSeq lists it as uncharacterized. Lineage: Eukaryota; Metazoa; Chordata; Actinopteri; Siluriformes; Siluridae. The transcript has 3 exons. The record is from RefSeq and is a predicted model, not a curated record.